RNAcentral lists this transfer RNA (73 nucleotides) under Zootermopsis nevadensis. It matches the Rfam family "tRNA". From Rfam's summary of the family: Transfer RNA (tRNA) molecules are approximately 80 nucleotides in length. Their secondary structure includes four short double-helical elements and three loops (D, anti-codon, and T loops). Further hydrogen bonds mediate the characteristic L-shaped molecular structure. tRNAs have two regions of fundamental functional importance: the anti-codon, which is responsible for specific mRNA codon recognition, and the 3' end, to which the tRNAs corresponding amino acid is attached (by aminoacyl-tRNA synthetases). tRNAs cope with the degeneracy of the genetic code in two manners: having more than one tRNA (with a specific anti-codon) for a particular amino acid; and 'wobble' base-pairing, i.e. permitting non-standard base-pairing at the 3rd anti-codon position. The record is from Rfam by way of RNAcentral. Lineage: Eukaryota; Metazoa; Arthropoda; Insecta; Blattodea; Termopsidae.
GCCACGGUGGUCUAGAGGUUAGAACGCUGGGCUUGUAAUCCUGGGGUCUCGGGUUCGAUUCCCGGCGGUGCCC